RNAcentral lists this long non-coding RNA (1611 nucleotides) under Capsella grandiflora. RNAcentral's name for it is "long non-coding RNA (CGRA_LNC001786)". The record is from RNAcentral. Lineage: Eukaryota; Viridiplantae; Streptophyta; Magnoliopsida; Brassicales; Brassicaceae.
CAAUAAAUAGGAAUGAAACAAAAUCUGGUCGAAGUCUUCAUGUCGGCGAUGCUCGCACAAUGGCCACACCGUGAGCAAGUUCCAGCCGCCGGUUUGCUCCGUUUCACUUUCCUUUUCUGAUCAACCAAGAAACAGAAACAAACCAUUCUGAAUGAUCUUGAUCAAUUCUUCUUUGUCUUUAUUAAAGAUUCAGAUUUAGAGCAAUCAAGAACCAAAAACAAGAACGAAAACUCUUAUAAUAAGACACGGCCAGGUUUGGUAUCAGAGAAGAAUGUUCUCUGUGUCUUCUUCUUUUUGGUUCUUUUUAUAAUGUGGGUUUGAAGAUUUUAUGAGUUCUUGAAUUUUGUGGCUAUAAAUAAUUAAAUAAAGGACGAGGAAUUAGUUAAAAGUUAUAAGCCAUUCACUCGUGUGUGUGUGUGAGAGAGAGUUCACAAAGUAAAUGAAAGUGAAUAGUAUUUUUGAGAUUGGAGUCUUGGACGUACACACGUAUAACCCACACUAAGUAACCUGUCGUUCAAUACAACUACAAGAGUGAAUUAAGUACUUGUACAUAUGUUCAUUCUUAUACAAGUUUUCGUUAAUUUUACUGUUAAACAUGCACUAAUGCUUUACAUUAUACAUAACAUAGCAAUAAUUGUAAUUUGCUGUAUGAAAAUACAUAUUAGUUUUAUAGGGAAAAGAAAGGUACGUAGGUACAAGGUCUCUACCUUCCGGUAUUAAUGUCAUCACAAUGAAGUGUUUUUUUUUCCUUAGUGGCAAAGGCUUUGGGUGUCAUGAAGGAAGCGUGAGUAGCUUGACACAUGUACAAAACAGUUGGGUGUUGUGUUUGUCAUUGUCUCAUGACAAAACACCUCAAAAUUUUCCAAUGUUUUCUUAUUCAUGAUUGUAAUAUUUUUUUGUUAUAUUUUUUUCUCAUUUCACCAACAAUAUUUGCAUUUAUGAAUUCAUACUUUGAAUUAUAUAGUUUCGGUGACAAAACGGCAGCAGGCAGGUAUGGCUAUUUUUAUAUUGUUGAAUAGUAUAAAACAUUCAAUGUAGAUUGUUGAAAAUGGUAAGCCAAUACUAAAUUAAUUAAGAAUACAAAUUUUUAUAAACCAAGAUUUAAAAAGGUCUAUAUAUAUCUCUUAGCUAAUGUGGUUCAAGUUCGUAGUUAUGGAGAUGAUGUGAUUUUGAUUUGAUUUCUUGUACAAGUGUCUACAUCAUUAUAGUUGGGAAUAUAUCUUUUGGUGAUAUUUCAGUUUUGUGUGGCAAUAGUUAUAUUAGAAAAUGUUUAAUUUCAGUCUUUGUCCACCAUUUAAAAUCUACUGGUUAAGAUUAUUUCAUAUAUAAAAAAAUACCAUAAGCUAUUUAAUAAUGACGACAUUGGUUUUAUAAGAAUAUGGUUGCUUUCAGAGAGAAAAUCCAUAUCAUUCAUCAAAAUAUACAAAAAGGUUGAACCUAAUCAAAACAAUAUAUUAAUAACUAUACUGUUACAACCACUUGAUUUUACAUGUUUACUUUGAUCAUUCCACAAUCCAGCAUUACAUAAACCCUUUCGAUUAAGCUCCUAUUUAUAAAUUAGUCACUCACCUUAAAGUCAUGUGAGAAAAUAAUUCGAUAGGUGUAGGUUAG